Molecule: long non-coding RNA, 1229 nt
Organism: Cyprinus carpio (common carp)
Lineage: Eukaryota; Metazoa; Chordata; Actinopteri; Cypriniformes; Cyprinidae
Source: Ensembl
GUUGAAAACAGGAAUAUUAAUAAGGUAAAGAGUAUAGUUUAUGCUCAAAGUCAUUCAGAAAUAUUUACUGUUUUCAAACAGGUUUCCCAAACUCUACGCUUACCUUCCAUUGGUUGUCAAACCCACGGCCCUGCCCCAAAUUCACACCAUUGGAUGAGUCUGUGUUGCUUUGGCAUGGUGGUUGUGAUGCUCAAACAAAGAGUCGCUCUUUGGCAGGGGAGAUCCACAACCCAAGUGUGGUGUGAAGAAGAUUUCCAGAUCUGUGCAACUGGAAUAAAAGGAGGGGUCGAGGGGGACCACCCGUAAGGAUCAGAUAAGAGCACGGUAAGCCUGGCCCGAAUCAGUUUGGCAUUGGAAAUUACAGUGAUGUUUGCACGGGGGGAAAACAUUCCCCUCCGCUCUCCGCAUAACCACACUAUUCUCCGUAAUAGAUUUCAGGAGGCUUUUUUACCCGUGUCGGUGGUUGUUUAUUAUUGUUCCAAAUGAUAGAGUGCAGAGCUGGAGAAAGGAAGGGGGGCGAUAAGGAGGGGGGGCACUGAAAACAAUCAUCGUCAAACUCGAGUAUGCUGACUGUCACUCUAGAGAAAGGCUUUUGGAACGGCUGGCGAGAAGGAAAGAUUUAUGGUGUCUUAAAAGACAUGCUUUGAAAAGCAAUGGUCUCAGUUUAUGGAUUGAAAACACUUUUGUAGAACAGGCAACGCUCGUGCAGGACACGGUCUGCAAAUGAAAGUGUGACUACAGGUGAGGGUUCGCUGGUGACUCGCCUAUGCAAGCACUUAAACUGAUGCUGACAGACAGUAUGCCGAAGUGAGUUUGUCUGCACACUAACAGCUGAGCCUUUGUAGCGUGGCAGAAUAGAGAGGAAAAGAAAAAAAAGAGACCAAAUUAGCUUAAAAGUUAAACAUGUUUGUCUUCUGGAUCACUCUAUUGUAAGAACAACUAGAAAAGCUGCAGAUUAGUGGAGUCUAGUGGGUUUCAUUCAGAACCACAGCCUAUUGUGCAAACCAAAGGACAGUGAGUCUGGAGAUCACCAUAAAAGUAUUGUUCUCUCCAACCGAGCUGAAUCUGAUGACUCGCCCACCCACUGCAAGAGAUUUGUGAUUGUGCUUCUGGAGGGUUUUUAGUGUUACUUGUUUAAGUGCUGUCCACUUGACAUGUGAGAAUUAAUUGAAGAACGAAAUAUAACUGAUAAGAAAUAAAAUCUGAUAUAACUGGGAAAAUUAAUAGCA